RNAcentral lists this ribosomal RNA (484 nucleotides) under uncultured bacterium. RNAcentral describes it as "partial 16S ribosomal RNA". It matches the Rfam family "Bacterial small subunit ribosomal RNA", at positions 30 to 507 of the family's 1533-position model. The record is from RNAcentral.
AUUGAACGCUGGCGGCAUGCCUUACACAUGCAAGUCGAACGGCAGCGCGGGAGCAAUCCUGGCUGCGAGUGGCGAACGGGUGAGUAAUACAUCGGAACGUGCCCAAUCGUGGGGGAUAACGCAGCGAAAGCUGUGCUAAUACCGCAUACGAUCUACGGAUGAAAGCAGGGGAUCGCAAGACCUUGCGCGAAUGGAGCGGCCGAUGGCAGAUUAGGUAGUUGGUGAGGUAAAGGCUCACCAAGCCUUCGAUCUGUAGCUGGUCUGAGAGGACGACCAGCCACACUGGGACUGAGACACGGCCCAGACUCCUACGGGAGGCAGCAGUGGGGAAUUUUGGACAAUGGGCGAAAGCCUGAUCCAGCCAUGCCGCGUGCAGGAUGAAGGCCUUCGGGUUGUAAACUGCUUUUGUACGGAACGAAACGGUCUUUUCUAAUAAAGAAGGCUAAUGACGGUACCGUAAGAAUAAGCACCGGCUAACUACGUG